UUUAAUCCCAGAUCCUAGGAAGUAGGGCUA
This 30-nucleotide non-coding RNA is filed under the name Rattus norvegicus (Norway rat). Lineage: Eukaryota; Metazoa; Chordata; Mammalia; Rodentia; Muridae. The record is from RNAcentral.